Molecule: long non-coding RNA, 590 nt
Organism: Ceratitis capitata (Mediterranean fruit fly)
Lineage: Eukaryota; Metazoa; Arthropoda; Insecta; Diptera; Tephritidae
Exons: 3
Source: RefSeq, a predicted model, not a curated record
UUGAAACAAAUUUUAUAAAAAUAAAUAAAAUAUAAAUGUUUGUAUUUAAAUAUAAAAAUAUAUAUAAAUUUUCAGUACUUCAUUUGGGGACUCAAUAAUCAUUCUCCAAACUGAAAUCCAACGCAGAAUCACUCUUGCUUCCUUGGACUGAUUAGUUUUCGUCGCAUCUAUGUACAUCCCCCUGUAUCUAAUAUAUUGCGCUCUUCGUUCACUUCAUUCAUUAAACCACAACGGCAGAGCACAUGUGGCCGGUCCACGGACUAACAGUAUAGCAUCUAGACAAUACCAAUAACAUUUCUUUGAAAACAAUUUUUGUCGCAACGCACGCACCGGCAGCAGGCCUCCACUACCAUAAAGUUCCAGUGUUCAUCGCUGCUGCAGCUGCUUUGAAAUUGAAAGUUACACUCGAAGCAAAGCAAUAAAUUGAAAGUGUUCGAUGUAAGUACGGACUCGCACAUAAAUUAAAUGACAAUCGAUGACAACAAACAUAUAAAUGAAUAGUAUUUCAACGAGCUGUAAUGUUACAUUUUUAUUUUAUUUAUACUAUUCUUUCUGGAAAAGAAGAUUAUUAAAAAAUUCCUAUUCCUACU